UACAGAGGGGGGCAAGCGUUGUUCGGAAUUACUGGGCGUAAAGGGCGCGUAGGCGGCCUGCUAAGUCGAACGUGAAAUCCCCGGGCUCAACCCGGGAACUGCGUCCGAUACUGACAGGCUUGAAUCCGGGAGAGGGAUGUGGAAUUCCAGGUGUAGCGGUGAAAUGCGUAGAUAUCUGGAGGAACACCGGUGGCGAAGGCGGCAUCCUGGACCGGUAUUGACGCUGAUGCGCGAAAGCCAGGGGAGCGAACGGG
This 254-nucleotide ribosomal RNA is filed under the name uncultured bacterium. Its description in RNAcentral is "partial 16S ribosomal RNA". It matches the Rfam family "Bacterial small subunit ribosomal RNA", at positions 524 to 776 of the family's 1533-position model. The record is from RNAcentral.